RNAcentral lists this ribosomal RNA (3119 nucleotides) under Pseudomonas aeruginosa. Its description in RNAcentral is "23S ribosomal RNA". It matches the Rfam family "Bacterial large subunit ribosomal RNA". Lineage: Bacteria; Pseudomonadati; Pseudomonadota; Gammaproteobacteria; Pseudomonadales; Pseudomonadaceae. The record is from RNAcentral.
GUUAUAUGGUCAAGUGAAGAAGCGCAUACGGUGGAUGCCUUGGCAGUCAGAGGCGAUGAAAGACGUGGUAGCCUGCGAAAAGCUUCGGGGAGUCGGCAAACAGACUUUGAUCCGGAGAUCUCUGAAUGGGGGAACCCACCUAGGAUAACCUAGGUAUCUUGUACUGAAUCCAUAGGUGCAAGAGGCGAACCAGGGGAACUGAAACAUCUAAGUACCCUGAGGAAAAGAAAUCAACCGAGAUUCCCUUAGUAGUGGCGAGCGAACGGGGAUUAGCCCUUAAGCUUCAUUGAUUUUAGCGGAACGCUCUGGAAAGUGCGGCCAUAGUGGGUGAUAGCCCCGUACGCGAAAGGAUCUUUGAAGUGAAAUCGAGUAGGACGGAGCACGAGAAACUUUGUCUGAACAUGGGGGGACCAUCCUCCAAGGCUAAAUACUACUGACUGACCGAUAGUGAACCAGUACCGUGAGGGAAAGGCGAAAAGAACCCCGGAGAGGGGAGUGAAAUAGAACCUGAAACCGUAUGCGUACAAGCAGUGGGAGCCUACUUGUUAGGUGACUGCGUACCUUUUGUAUAAUGGGUCAGCGACUUAUAUUCAGUGGCAAGCUUAACCGUAUAGGGUAGGCGUAGCGAAAGCGAGUCUUAAUAGGGCGUUUAGUCGCUGGGUAUAGACCCGAAACCGGGCGAUCUAUCCAUGAGCAGGUUGAAGGUUAGNGGUUAGGUAACACUGACUGGAGGACCGAACCCACUCCCGUUGAAAAGGUAGGGGAUGACUUGUGGAUCGGAGUGAAAGGCUAAUCAAGCUCGGAGAUAGCUGGUUCUCCUCGAAAGCUAUUUAGGUAGCGCCUCAUGUAUCACUCUGGGGGGUAGAGCACUGUUUCGGCUAGGGGGUCAUCCCGACUUACCAAACCGAUGCAAACUCCGAAUACCCAGAAGUGCCGAGCAUGGGAGACACACGGCGGGUGCUAACGUCCGUCGUGAAAAGGGAAACAACCCAGACCGCCAGCUAAGGUCCCAAAGUUGUGGUUAAGUGGUAAACGAUGUGGGAAGGCUUAGACAGCUAGGAGGUUGGCUUAGAAGCAGCCAUCCUUUAAAGAAAGCGUAAUAGCUCACUAGUCGAGUCGGCCUGCGCGGAAGAUGUAACGGGGCUCAAACCACACACCGAAGCUGCGGGUGUCACGUAAGUGACGCGGUAGAGGAGCGUUCUGUAAGCCUGUGAAGGUGAGUUGAGAAGCUUGCUGGAGGUAUCAGAAGUGCGAAUGCUGACAUGAGUAACGACAAUGGGUGUGAAAAACACCCACGCCGAAAGACCAAGGGUUCCUGCGCAACGUUAAUCGACGCAGGGUUAGUCGGUUCCUAAGGCGAGGCUGAAAAGCGUAGUCGAUGGGAAACAGGUUAAUAUUCCUGUACUUCUGGUUACUGCGAUGGAGGGACGGAGAAGGCUAGNAGGUUGGCUUAGAAGCAGCCAUCCUUUAAAGAAAGCGUAAUAGCUCACUAGUCGAGUCGGCCUGCGCGGAAGAUGUAACGUGGCUCAAACCACACACCGAAGCUGCGGGUGUCACGUAAGUGACGCGGUAGAGGAGCGUUCUGUAAGCCUGUGAAGGUGAGUUGAGAAGCUUGCUGGAGGUAUCAGAAGUGCGAAUGCUGACAUGAGUAACGACAAUGGGUGUGAAAAACACCCACGCCGAAAGACCAAGGGUUCCUGCGCAACGUUAAUCGACGCAGGGUUAGUCGGUUCCUAAGGCGAGGCUGAAAAGCGUAGUCGAUGGGAAACAGGUUAAUAUUCCUGUACUUCUGGUUACUGCGAUGGAGGGACGGAGAAGGCUAGGCCAGCUUGGCGUUGGUUGUCCAAGUUUAAGGUGGUAGGCUGAAAUCUUAGGUAAAUCCGGGGUUUCAAGGCCGAGAGCUGAUGACGAGUCGUCUUUUAGAUGACGAAGUGGUUGAUGCCAUGCUUCCAAGAAAAGCUUCUAAGCUUCAGGUAACCAGGAACCGUACCCCAAACCGACACAGGUGGUCGGGUAGAGAAUACCAAGGCGCUUGAGAGAACUCGGGUGAAGGAACUAGGCAAAAUGGCACCGUAACUUCGGGAGAAGGUGCGCCGGCUAGGGUGAAGGAUUUACUCCGUAAGCUCUGGCUGGUCGAAGAUACCAGGCCGCUGCGACUGUUUAUUAAAAACACAGCACUCUGCAAACACGAAAGUGGACGUAUAGGGUGUGACGCCUGCCCGGUGCCGGAAGGUUAAUUGAUGGGGUUAGCGCAAGCGAAGCUCUUGAUCGAAGCCCCGGUAAACGGCGGCCGUAACUAUAACGGUCCUAAGGUAGCGAAAUUCCUUGUCGGGUAAGUUCCGACCUGCACGAAUGGCGUAACGAUGGCGGCGCUGUCUCCACCCGAGACUCAGUGAAAUUGAAAUCGCUGUGAAGAUGCAGUGUAUCCGCGGCUAGACGGRAAGACCCCGUGAACCUUUACUGUAGCUUUGCACUGGACUUUGAGCCUGCUUGUGUAGGAUAGGUGGGAGGCUUUGAAGCGUGGACGCCAGUUCGCGUGGAGCCAUCCUUGAAAUACCACCCUGGCAUGCUUGAGGUUCUAACUCUGGUCCGUGAUCCGGAUCGAGGACAGUGUAUGGUGGGCAGUUUGACUGGGGCGGUCUCCUCCUAAAGAGUAACGGAGGAGUACGAAGGUGCGCUCAGACCGGUCGGAAAUCGGUCGCAGAGUAUAAAGGCAAAAGCGCGCUUGACUGCGAGACAGACACGUCGAGCAGGUACGAAAGUAAAAGUGGUACGCGAGCUGGGUUUAGAACGUCGUGAGACAGUUCGGUCCCUAUCUGCCGUGGACGUUUGAGAUUUGAGAGGGGCUGCUCCUAGUACGAGAGGACCGGAGUGGACGAACCUCUGGUGUUCCGGUUGUCACGCCAGUGGCAUUGCCGGGUAGCUAUGUUCGGAAAAGAUAACCGCUGAAAGCAUCUAAGCGGGAAACUUGCCUCAAGAUGAGAUCUCACUGGGAACUUGAUUCCCCUGAAGGGCCGUCGAAGACUACGACGUUGAUAGGCUGGGUGUGUAAGCGUUGUGAGGCGUUGAGCUAACCAGUACUAAUUGCCCGUGAGGCUUGACCAUAUAACACCCAAACA